AAACCAACCGGGAUUGCCUUAGUAACGGCGAGUGAAGCGGCAAAAGCUCAAAUUUGAAAUCUGGCACCUUCGGUGUCCGAGUUGUAAUUUGAAGAAGCUACUCUGGAGUUAGUCCCUGUCUAUGUUCCUUGGAACAGGACGUCAUAGAGGGUGAGAAUCCCGUCUGGCGGGGGUGCUAAUUCUUUGUAGAGUGCUUUCGACGAGUCGAGUUGUUUGGGAAUGCAGCUCUAAGUGGGUGGUAAAUUCCAUCUAAAGCUAAAUAUUGGCGAGAGACCGAUAGCGAACAAGUACAGUGAUGGAAAGAUGAAAAGAACUUUGAAAAGAGAGUGAAAAAGUGCGUGAAAUUGUUGAAAGGGAAGGGCAUUUGAUCAGACAUGGUGUUUUGCGGCCUAUACCCCUCGUGGGUGUGGUCACCGCAGCUCACUGGGCCAGCAUCAGUUUUGGUGGCAGCAGAAACCCUUAGGAAUGUGACUUCUUCUUCGGAGGAAGUGUUAUAGCCUAAGGUCAUACUGCCAACUGGGACUGAGGACUGCGGCUUCGGCCAAGGAUGCUGGCAUAAUGGUUAAAUGCCGC
Molecule: ribosomal RNA, 573 nt
Filed under: Eremothecium ashbyi
Lineage: Eukaryota; Fungi; Ascomycota; Saccharomycetes; Saccharomycetales; Saccharomycetaceae
Description: eukaryotic LSU rRNA
Rfam family: Eukaryotic large subunit ribosomal RNA
Source: RNAcentral